GACGAACGCUGGCGGCGUGCCUAAUACAUGCAAGUUGAGCGAUGAAGAUUGGUGCUUGCACCAAUUUGAAGAGCAGCGAACGGGUGAGUAACGCGUGGGGAAUCUGCCUUUGAGCGGGGGACAACAUUUGGAAACGAAUGCUAAUACCGCAUAACAACUUUAAACAUAAGUUUUAAGUUUGAAAGAUGCAAUUGCAUCACUCAAAGAUGAUCCCGCGUUGUAUUAGCUAGUUGGUGAGGUAAAGGCUCACCAAGGCGAUGAUACAUAGCCGACCUGAGAGGGUGAUCGGCCACAUUGGGACUGAGACACGGCCCAAACUCCUACGGGAGGCAGCAGUAGGGAAUCUUCGGCAAUGGCCGAAAGUCUGACCGAGCAACGCCGCGUGAGUGAAGAAGGUUUUCGGAUCGUAAAACUCUGUUGGUAGAGAAGAACGUUGGUGAGAGUGGAAAGCUCAUCAAGUGACGGUAACUACCCAGAAAGGGACGGCUAACUACGUG
RNAcentral lists this ribosomal RNA (497 nucleotides) under uncultured bacterium. Its description in RNAcentral is "partial 16S ribosomal RNA". It matches the Rfam family "Bacterial small subunit ribosomal RNA", at positions 28 to 507 of the family's 1533-position model. The record is from RNAcentral.